RNAcentral lists this long non-coding RNA (223 nucleotides) under Lathyrus oleraceus (garden pea). RNAcentral describes it as "Pisum sativum (pea) long non-coding RNA (PSAT_LNC014547)". The record is from RNAcentral. Lineage: Eukaryota; Viridiplantae; Streptophyta; Magnoliopsida; Fabales; Fabaceae.
CUAAUUGAAAUUAUACAAAAUUCAAAUGAUCCCUAAACUAUGUUAAAAUCUAAUUACCUAAUUAAAAAUAAUUAAAUGGGUAAAAUAGGAAUAUUGAAAGAAAAAAAAAACUAAAAUAGAACAUUGGGCCAAGGGUGUUAACCUCAAACUAGAGGUGCAAUAAAGGACUCAGACGUAUGGGCCUAAUUCUAAGAGCCCAUUGGAAAUUUCUUGGGUUAGGGGG